Ornithodoros turicata is the source of this 331-nucleotide long non-coding RNA. RefSeq lists it as uncharacterized. The transcript is spliced from 2 exons. NCBI's taxonomy places the organism in Eukaryota, Metazoa, Arthropoda, Arachnida, Ixodida, Argasidae. The record is from RefSeq and is a predicted model, not a curated record.
GCUCGUUCCUGCUCCUCCCGCGUGGCAUGUUUCGUCCAUUAGAACCAACUCAUCGCUCGUUUAACCGCGUUGGCAUCGAUCUAUUCGUCCCUCGGCCAUGAUCUACUUCGGGAAACCGCUGGUCGCAGGGUUGUUCAUCUUCAAUACCCAGGGCCACCAGGGGUACCUGUGCUAGGAAGCGACAAUUUAUUCCUUCGUCAGAGGGCAUCAUGAUAUUCUCGGAGCCUGGCCGUUGUCCAUACACCAACAUCGGAGUGUCGACCUAAAUCUACGGAGCUGUUCAAUAUCGCAAGCAUGGAAAUAUAUGAGCCUUCUAUGCCUUUGCCUAUCA